CAGGACUCCCUCUAUAUCAGGUGUGGCUAGCUCCAUUUGACUGAUAAGGGAAACACAGCAAACUCAAAAAACUUACCAAGAUGAAAAGGAUGAGAGAAGCACAUCACACCUGCAGGGAGGUGAGCUUCCUGGCCAUUGGCCCAACCUCAGUGAUCAAGAGAAGAAAGAGGUGAGUACCCUCACCGGUACCGCUAGUCAACCUCUAGGGGGUAACAAGAUUUA
Non-coding RNA from Oryctolagus cuniculus (rabbit), 222 nucleotides. Lineage: Eukaryota; Metazoa; Chordata; Mammalia; Lagomorpha; Leporidae. The record is from RefSeq and is a predicted model, not a curated record.